RNAcentral lists this ribosomal RNA (406 nucleotides) under uncultured bacterium. RNAcentral describes it as "partial 16S ribosomal RNA". It matches the Rfam family "Bacterial small subunit ribosomal RNA", at positions 30 to 526 of the family's 1533-position model. The record is from RNAcentral.
AUUGAACGCUGGCGGCAGGCCUAACACAUGCAAGUCGAACGAGUGGCGGACGGGUGAGUAAUGUCUGGGAAACUGCCCGAUGGAGGGGGAUAACUACUGGAAACGGUAGCUAAUACCGCAUACCAUCGGAUGUGCCCAGAUGGGAUUAGCUAGUAGGUGUGGUAAGGGCUCACCUGGGCGACGAUCCCUAGCUGGUCUGAGAGGAUGACCAGACACACUGGAACUGAGAGACGGUCCAGACUCCGACGUGAGGCAGCAGUGGAGAAUAUUGCACAGUGGGCGCAAGCCUGAUGUAGCCAUGCCGCGUGUAUGAAGAAGGCCUGCGGGUUGUAAGGUACUUUCAGCGAGGAAGCGUUACUCGCAGAAGAAGCACCGGCUAACUACGUGCCAGCAGCCGCGGUAAUUC